This 253-nucleotide ribosomal RNA is filed under the name uncultured bacterium. RNAcentral's name for it is "partial 16S ribosomal RNA". It matches the Rfam family "Bacterial small subunit ribosomal RNA", at positions 524 to 776 of the family's 1533-position model. The record is from RNAcentral.
UACAGAGGUCUCGAGCGUUGUUCGGAUUCAUUGGGCGUAAAGGGCGCGUAGGUGGCGCUGUAAGUCGGGUGUGAAAUCCUGAGGCUUAACCUCGGAACUGCAUUCGAUACUGCGGCGCUUGAGGACUGGAGAGGAGACUGGAAUUCAUGGUGUAGCAGUGAAAUGCGUAGAGAUCAUGAGGAAGACCAGUGGCGAAGGCGGGUCUCUGGACAGUUCCUGACACUGAGGCACGAAGGCCAGGGGAGCAAACGGG